Molecule: ribosomal RNA, 581 nt
Filed under: fungal sp. APA-2013
Lineage: Eukaryota; Fungi
Description: eukaryotic LSU rRNA
Rfam family: 5.8S ribosomal RNA (bases 223-376)
Source: RNAcentral
CAUUAGAGGAAGUAAAAGUCGUAACAAGGUCUCCGUUGGUGAACCAGCGGAGGGAUCAUUAAAGAGUUGCAAAACUCCCAAACCAUUGUGAACUUACCUCCAACGUUGCUUCGGCGGGUUGGCUCCGGGUCUCCCGGGGCCCCCGGCCCUCACGGGCGCCCGCCGGAGGUACCUAACUCUUGAAAUUGUAUGGCCUCUCUGAGUGAUUUAUAAAUAAGUCAAAACUUUCAACAACGGAUCUCUUGGUUCUGGCAUCGAUGAAGAACGCAGCGAAAUGCGAUAAGUAAUGUGAAUUGCAGAAUUCAGUGAAUCAUCGAAUCUUUGAACGCACAUUGCGCCCGCCAGUAUUCUGGCGGGCAUGCCUGUUCGAGCGUCAUUUCAACCAUCAAGCCCCCGGCUUGUGUUGGGGACCUGCGGCUGCCGCAGGCCCUGAAAACCAGUGGCGGGCUCGCUAGUCACUCCGAGCGUAGUAAUACAUCUCGCUCAGGGCGUGCUGCGGGUUCCGGCCGUUAAAAGCCUUAUUUACCCAAGGUUGACCUCGGAUCAGUAGGAAGACCCGCUGAACUUAAGCAUAUCAAUAA